Oryzias sinensis (Chinese medaka) is the source of this 2385-nucleotide long non-coding RNA. The record is from Ensembl. Lineage: Eukaryota; Metazoa; Chordata; Actinopteri; Beloniformes; Adrianichthyidae.
ACUCCGAACGUCCCAGUUCCUCAUCACACGGAGAAGGGCUUCGAGCUCUUUCUAGGGGCGCUCAGCAAAGGGGCGGCCGCCAACUUGAAACCAAUGACCUCCUCUGCGCCGCUGCCUUCUUCCAGCCGCGGCGUUGCCUCACCUGCUAAAGGAGCGAGUCGAUCUGACGAGGCGUUUGAGCGCUUUCUCAGGCUGCUGAACAAAAACGCAGAAGUCAACCCUAAUGAGAUGGCCUCCGAUGUGGCCCCACCCCUUCCCAGCUUGCUCCACACGUCACCUGCAGACGAGGACAUCAGCGAGCGGCGCGACCUCCACGCCGUCAGGAACCUGAACAACGCAGCGGAUUCAAGCGUGCUGUAUGAAAAGGUACGUUGAUUGAUUGAUUGAUUGAUUGAAAGCAUUGUAGUCAAAGCAAUAAAGAAUUUACACAGUUUUAUCAAACUCGUUACAGAAAUGAUGAAAGGCAUAAAAAUGGAUUGGGAAUUAUUCAAACAGCUGUCGAUCCUUAACUCUUCUUGUCUUCAUAUCAUGACAUCAGAGCUUCUUUAUACCUUUUCUUGAAUAUUUGGAUAUUUGUACAUUGUUUGAGCUCAUUACUUAACCCGUUCCAAAGUUUAGUGCCACACACAGAAACCUUUCCCAUCCUGAGUGAGAACAAAUAUAGAAGUCAGUUUGUGUGUUUUUCUCGUUCCUUUCUAUCGUUUUUCAUUCAGUGAGGAAACUUGAAAAAAAAUCUCAUAGUACUUUACAAAAAUUACUUCAAUACAUAUUUUUCUGUGCUUCAAAAUAAAUUAUUUCAAGUCUUAAAAAAAUAAAAUCAAACAUUUGACUAACAUUUGACUAACAUUUAACGUUUGCUGGAACUUUCCCAGAUUCCUGUUCCCAGACAAAGUUCUUCUUCGUCCACAAACGAGGAGAGCAAAGUGGAGAAAGGUUUUGAGCGCUUUCUCAGCGUGCUGAACAAAGGAGUGGACAUCAACCUCCUCAGUAAGAUAGUUAUGGAUAGUAAGGAGGUAGUUCCCGCCCUUCUCCCCUCUGUGGAGCGGAACAAGAGUGAGGAGCCUCUCAGGAGGGGGAGCUCCUGUUCCAACAGCGGAGCUCCUCUGCCGGGCCGCAUCCGGACCAGCAGUGCCGAGUCAAGGACCGACCGUCCAGAGCGGUCGCUACCCGAAACCGCACAAGACGAGAGGCUCUGCAGCGUGAACUCCGACAACCGCGCGGCGUCUCCUCUGGAAAGGAGGAAGUUGGAGGAUGAAGAACUGCCACGCUCAGAGGAAGCCUUGAAGCAGCUGCAGGACAUUUGUAGAACUCUGAAGCUAAACAUGGCAGCAGAGAAGAUGAGCAAAGAACCGGAUCGCACGCAAGGAGGGAAGACGGGGAGCAGGCGGGUCAGCGGGGAGCACAGCGGCUCCUCCUCCUCCCCCCCCAGAAGUCGCAGCCGCUCGCCACAUCGCCACAGGAAAGAUCAAAAGUUGAAACAUGGCGGCUCUCACGAACGAAACAGAAUGAGUGUAAUGCAGCCAGAAGAAGAAGAUGCAGAAGGUCCGGUGGGCAGCGACAGAAACCGACAGGAAGCAUCUCCUUACCUUCACGUGUCUACUGCUGCUGCUGCUGCUGCUGCUGCUGCUGCAUUCCCACAUAGUUUGUACCAAGACCCCCGUUUCCCCAGUGACCUCGCCAACGCCAGCAGAGAUGUGGCGUACCCUUACUGCUCGUUUCCUCAGAGCUACAGCACGCUGCUCGCCCUUCCCCCCGACGUGCAUUCCUGCCAACCAGCAGAAUUUCACCGCCCCGCGUGGACCGACCCUCAGUGUGGAUUGGAAAGCGCGACCCCGCUUUGGGGUCUCGACCUUUCCGCAUCUGAAGGUCAGACCGGAUUGUCUCCUUGCGACGCCAACAGCAGGUCUCGAUUCCUAACAGUCGUCGACACGCAGGCUUCUUUGAACACAAAGUCCUCCCACGGGUCAAAGCCAAAAAAAAAGUAUCGACCAUGGAAGAAAAAUAAAAAACCAGACAGAAAAAGAAUUCGUAAAAAGAAGGACAAGGGAGACAAGCCUGAAUCGAAGCCACUUUCUUCAUCGAGCAAGACGACCAAGGCCAAGACAUCGCAGCAGCCUGCAGCGCCGCAAGCUUCCGUGGCGCCAAAGCCGUCCGUGGCGCCUAAGGCAUCGUCAACGGUGACCUCCCCGGCAGGAACUUCCCAGGCGGGCCGGGGCGCUCCGACUAAGCCGUCGGAUGAGCGGAAACCACAGCUGCUGACAGAGGAGGAGAUAAAGGCAAACCUGAGGAAAAAGCUUCAAGCGUUUAAUGAGAAAGCAAAGCUUGCUAAGCAGAUCUACCGGCCCUCACAGCCAGACGACUCGCUGUCCCUGGAGCUGAGCUAAC